AUGAGGUUUUUGACCCCAAUCUCUUUGCUGCUGGAGCCAGGAGAGUCAGGAUCUCCAGGAAUCCAGGGUGAGCCGGGUGUCAGGGUCUUGGUUUUCCUGGAGACCCUGGCCCCCCAGGAGAAGGUGGCUCAUGACCAGGACAGUGUUAAGGGUGACUAUGGCAAGGAUGGGGUCCCUUGGCUGGAGGCCAACACUCACCCACCCCAAUUCCUCUCAUUCUGUGGAUCCUCUGGUCCCACUGGGGAGAAUGGACUACCUGGACCACAUGGAAAGCAGGGUCAGCUAAGAAUAGUCAUGACUCAAGGGUCAUUUAGGACACAGGAAGAUACCGGAUGAAGAAACUCUCCCCAAGUCCUAAACUCAUUCACAAAUUAGAAUACAUAGGUCCAGCCCAGGCACAGUGGCUGAAGCCUGGAAUCCUCCCCCUUCCUGCUUCGGGAGACCAAGGCAAGAGGAUCUCUCGAAGUGUGAGUUGGAGGCCAGCUUGGGCGACACAACCAGGAAAAGCAAGUGGCCACCAGGUGGUGCCCGAGAGCUGAGCCCGAGUUCCCUGGGAGGAAUCUGCACCCAGCCCUGGGAUGGCACAGGGAUGCCUCACGGGACACCUGGCCUCAUCCUGGUAGCCCCUUGCUUGCAUUUCCCGGCCCUGGGGUGUCCUCCCCGACUGCACAUGCAUGUAGAGACCAUUCCUCCUUCUCCAAAGAGGGAUUUGGAACAAUUCUCACAUGACCUGACGAGGGACAGCGGCUGUGCUCAGGGUCCCUCUUUUGUCCUCAGAGCAUGACCAGGCCUGUGGCUCUUGCUCAUUGCCCAAGAGCAUGGGAGGUUGCCCGUGGCAAGGCCCCGGAGGACCCUGCUGUGCUGCCUGGGACCAGGAGGCCCGGCUGCCUUCUCCCAGCACCUCUCCCAGCUAGGGUACUGUGCAGGAAAUGGGUGCAGAGGCCAUCGUGGUGGCUGCUCCUGGGGUCCCAGCGGCUCUAGCUGAGGCAGGAGGAGCCAGGGAGCCCAGGAGGCUGAGGCCCCUGUCCUACUGCUCUGGUUGUGCUGCAGUCUCUGUCACCACCACCAACUGCAGUGAGGUGAGCCACUGGGCUGCAGGCUCUAGCCUCCAGCCUGCGACAGAUCCCUCCUCUUUCUGACUCCUCCUGUAGCAGGGCACGGAGAAGCUCUUGCUCAUCGCCGCCUCCUACCACUCCGAACAUGCUGCAGUCUCGUUGACCACGCUGCAGUCUUGGUGGCCACCACCAACUGCAGGGAGCCUGGCCGGGUGCCGCAAGUUGCAGCCUCCACCUCCUCCUCUAAGUCGGGCAUGGAGCAGCAGCGGGAGCAGUCGCAGAAGAGGCUGGAAUGGUGGAAUGCACCCUCAGUAUUCAUUAUAUAUAGAGGUUUCGGCAAUGAGGUCCUGGACUUUGUGUUCUGAUUGGAUGGGGGAAACCUCUAGGCUUUAUCUUCAUGCCCUGAUUGGUUAUCCUAAGAGUUGCUCUCAUCCAAUCUUCUUUAUAAGUGGUCAUCUUUGUAAGUUCAUGCCCAUUGGGAGUUACUGAAGUUGUGAAUGAUUACAUUUAAACUUAUCCUGUAAUUUUAGUCUGAUUUAUUAAUUCCACCUAUCUCCUUAAGCAAAUUAUUCUCUAUAGUGAUGACCCAAGCAAAUUCCUGUCCCAAGAUGGUAUCAAGAUGAUACCCCAAGUUCCUCUCCAGAAUGGUAUCUGGAAAUAUGUGGAGGGAAAUAUUUUUUCUAGGCCUGUAUUAAAUAUGGCACUAAAGCUUAGUGGCUUAAAACAAUACACUGUUAUUAUCUCACAGCUUCUGUGAAUAAGUAGUUCAGGAGAGUGUAGCUGGGUGAUUCUUGCCAAGAGUCUCAUAAGGUUGCAGUCAAUCUGUUGGUGAGAAUUGUAGUUACUUGAAGACUUGGCUGGAGUUGAAGAAUUUAUAUCAAAGAUGGCUUACUUAUGGCAAUUGGAUGGAAGCCCCAGUUUCAGAAUGGCUGCUGGCAAUAGGUCUUUUUACUUGCCACAUGGACCUCUCCAUAGGCUGAUUGAAUGUCCUCCCAAUGUGUCAUCUGGCUUUCUCCAGUGCAAAAGAUCAAAGAAGAGAGUAUGAAGGAACCUGUAAUGCUCUUUAUAAUUUUGUCACAGACUGUCACUUCUGCCAUACUCUAUUGUUUAGAAGUUAGUCAUUAAGUCCAGCCCACACUCAAAAGAACGAGAAUUAACCUCCACCUUUGGAAGAGAGGCUAGUCAAAGCACUUGUGGACAUGUUUUGAAACCACAAAGGGGUAUGGCUGCCAGUCUCCAAGAUGGCCCCCAGUGAUUCUCAUCAGCUCUAAUAAGGAUGAGCAACAGGAUAGGCAACUUCACCCAAUCCCUGCCAGUUGUAGCCAGGCAGGCCAUACCUGCUAGAGCUUCCAGCCCCGUGGUACCACUUCUGACUGAACUCUGCCAACAAGCACAGUCUCUUGUUCUCCUAGGAAACACCUUAAUGGCAUGGUGAGUGACUCCACCCACUGCCACUGCUCACAGCCAGCAGCCCACACCUGCUAGAGUUUCCAGCCCAGCAGUCCUGCUUUUAUAUGAACUCUGCAGGUGGGGGCAACUCCAUGUUCCCCUGGGAAGCAGCUGUACAGCAGAUUAGGUGACUCCACUCAUCCCUGCAACUCCUAGCCAAGCAGUUCUUGCUGGCUUGGGUGGUGCCCAAGCAGUGGGGGAGUCCUCACUCUUGCAUCUCUAACAGAAGUGAGAUGCCCAAGUUCACAGGUCAGUGGAGGAGUGGGUUGUGCCUCCCUCUGUACAGCCAUUCCAGAAAGGAUAUGACCUGUUUGCCAACUGUGGCCCCUGCAUGAGGAAGCCCCAUGGACGAGAACACCUAAUAAAAGAAAUACAGGCAUGGAGUCAGUGAUCAGAGGGGGCUCUUCCAAGGCUCAGGGGUGGACAAGGUGAGGGGGUCAUCUCUACCCCACCCCCUAAAGAGCACUAUGCUAACUUGAGGAAAACACAAAAGAGCUGUGCAGCUGAGAAAAGCCUAUCUGCCUGUCUGCUGGCUAACACUUUUAAGUGCCACCUACUGGAUCACAGCAGAAAAUACAACACAAAAAUAUUUUGCCAGUACACAGCACCUGUGAAAACUAAGGCAAAGAUUAAGCAACAAAUAAACAUUCUGUACAUACUCGUGACCCUCUGAAAACACCCUAAAAAGAAGCCAACUGACUGUACUCAACUUACAUCACAGUUAAAGGAACACUAACCCUUACACAUGAAAAAGAAUCGAUGCAAAAACUCUGGCAACUCAAAAAGCCAGUGUGCCCCCUUACCUACAAACAAAUACACUAGUCCCCCAGAAAUGGUUCUUAGCCAGAUUGAGAUGACUGAAAUGAUGGAAAUAAAAUUCAAGAUCUGGAUGGCAAGGAGGAUCAAUGGGAUCAAAGAGAAAGUUGAAUCCAAGGAACCCAGUAAAACAAUCCAGGAGCUGAAAGAUUAAACAGCCAUUUUAAGAAAGAACCAGCUGGGUGUGAUGGCUCACGCCUGUAAUCCCAGCACUGUGGGAGGCCGAGGCGAGUGGAUUACUUGAGGUUAGGAGUUUUGAGACCAGCCUGGCCAACAUGAUGAAACCCCGUCUCUAACUA
Long non-coding RNA from Pan paniscus (pygmy chimpanzee), 3619 nucleotides. The record is from Ensembl. NCBI's taxonomy places the organism in Eukaryota, Metazoa, Chordata, Mammalia, Primates, Hominidae.